RNAcentral lists this ribosomal RNA (434 nucleotides) under uncultured Clostridium sp. RNAcentral describes it as "partial 16S ribosomal RNA". It matches the Rfam family "Bacterial small subunit ribosomal RNA", at positions 341 to 792 of the family's 1533-position model. RNAcentral also lists the same sequence under 1 other name. The record is from RNAcentral. Lineage: Bacteria; Bacillati; Bacillota; Clostridia; Eubacteriales; Clostridiaceae.
ACGGGAGGCAGCAGUAGGGAAUACUAGGCAAUGGGGGCAACCCUGACCUGGCGACGCCGCGUGAAGGAUGAAGGUUUUCGGAUUGUAAACUUCUUUUAAGAGGGACGAUAGUGACGGUACCUCUUGAAUAAGCCACGGCUAACUACGUGCCAGCAGCCGCGGUAAUACGUAGGUGGCAAGCGUUGUCCGGAUUUACUGGGUGUAAAGGGCGAGUAGGCGGGAUUGCAAGUCAGAUGUGAAAUACCGAGGCUUAACUUCGGCACUGCAUUUGAAACUGUAAUUCUUGAGUGAUGGAGAGGCAGGCGGAAUUCCCGGUGUAGCGGUGAAAUGCAUAGAGAUCGGGAGGAACACCAGUGGCGAAGGCGGCCUGCUGGACAUUAACUGACGCUGAGGAGCGAAAGUGUGGGGAGCAAACAGGAUUAGAUACCCUGGUA